GAAAAGCUACUAAAAAGCCCAUCAAAUUGUGAGCCGUACGAUACAGACAUCAUCCACGUGGCUGACUAAGAGACUGAAAUGAAAAGGGCAUACAGUAAACCCGCGGCGCAGGGAACUAACCCCACCCCUCCCCUGAAAACCACCUUCAGUUGAAAAUAAUCAGAAACGUUAGGAAGGAACUUCGACGGAGAAGAGGGCUUAGCGGUGGCCGGCGGAGACAGAGAAAUAUCAGAGACGCAAGGAAGGAAGAGAGUGACGUCUAAUUUUUUGAAUCGAUUUUCGCUGAGAGCACAGGCUCCCCAUAAUUGUGUCUAUCAGUGAUGAAUGUGGCUCAAGUUCUAAACUUGUGGUAUAAACUACAUUUGGCUUAAACUGGACCAGAUGUGGUGGAUGUUAGAACUUAAUUCCAAUUUGGAAAUUAUUUGAGUUUUCCAGUUGCUGGCUGCUAUCUGCUGAAGUCUAUGAUGUUAGCUAACUGAGGACAAGGUAUGUUGUUCAUCGACAAGCGCUGGGACAGGUCUAACUUUUUUACCUAAAGCUAGACUGUGAAGGCUGGCAAUGGAAAGGCGCUUUUUCUCUGAGUUAACUGUUGCUCGGUGGACAACACCUUUGUAUCGACCAUUGCUCAAUACUUCCAUGUGAUCUCCCACGAGAACAAUGAGGCCUCCUUCAAUGACUGGAACUGAAUGCCACUUUUCAUUUCGAUCCAUGAUUUGCAAGCCCUGAUGGUUUUGAAGAAUAAUGGAUAUCAAAGAAUAAUCUGUGUGUGGUGGCAAGCCUAGUGCAAGAUCCGGCUCAGGACAUGUUGGAUAGCAAUUAACGGCUAUGACCUGGGAGCCUUCUGCAAUGUCUUCAUUUCCUUGCAGGCCAGGUGUAGUUGCUGGAUUAUCUGUGGCCGAAGAAGAGGGUAUUGCAGUAAUGAUAGAUCCACAAUUGGCAAGCAUGUGUUGGGCAAGGUUCCGUUGGGGCGUAGGGAUGGUGGAAGAAUGUAACGCUUGGGAAUGCAGGUUAGUCCCUCUUCAGUAAGUGUCAUGGCACUUGUAAAUGAAUUAUUUGGUGAAGAGCUCUUCUUAUCCAUUUUGUUUUGUGGUAUUCAAAUAGGACUUAACACACUAUUUAUAUAACAGAAAAAUAUGAAGUUAUAAUAAAGUUACUUAUUUUGUUAUAUACAAUGAAUAUGUGUAGGGAAUGUGAUAUACCAUGACUAUAAGCAAUGAAAAGUAUGACUCACGAACAUUAUUAUUGUAUGCUCAUAAUAAAUGAAUUGUUGUAUAAUACUACUAUUGUUAUAUUUGAAGGCAGGAAAAUCUUAGAUGAUUUUUACAAGUUGAUCCAGAAUGUAGGGGGAAAAAAGAAUAGAAAAUCAAAAAAGUCGAAUAUAUACACACUGGUUAGAUUCAUUUUAGGUGGGUGUGUCCCACGCGCCAUGAAUGAGUAUAGUUAUCCAGGACCAGGUCACAAGCACCAGUAAGAUUGGGAUUUUCUUUAUUGCCGAUGUAAGCAGGACUGCUAUUUUAUAUUAUAGUUAGAUAUUUUGAUAAAGACGCAUUCAAAAUUUAUUUUUUAUGAGAGAAAAAUUGUCUGUUUGCUAGAAGAGUUAAAAUUAAUGAAAUGAGGUCUAAUGGCAAGUGAACUAAGAUAUAAUUUUUUUUCUUUUGUUUUUGUUGGCUAAGUUAAGAAAACAAGAAUAAAUGAAAAUACAUGGACUACAUACAUAAUGAAUAAUCGUAGUAAUAUUGUUGGCAAUUAAUUUUAAAGCAAGAAAAUAUUUAUUCAUGAUUCGAGGGUCGUUAGUGGCGUAUUUCCUCAACUAGAAUGAUUUAGAUUUUAUCUUUAUAUAAAUAUUUUAUGAAUUUGUGGAAUAUUCGAGAUGCCUUAGUUAUCUCCUUUAUAUAAGCAUGAAAUAGAGUUUAGGAUUAAGUAGCCUUUAAAAAUCCAAUUGAAAUUAAAUACACUUUGUAGAGUUCCAACUCGAAUUGAACACAUCUUGUAGAAUUCAACAAAAUUUCAAUGUCUAUAAAUGCCCUGGUUUCAAGGCUUGUCGGAGUGUAGACUUGAUGAAAUUCUAAGACCAGACUUGAAGUACUCAUCUUCCACCUUUGCAAUUUUGUGGCUUCAGAGUUGCUGAUUUAGUUUGCAAAUUUUUUUAAGAUAACAUAAAAUGAAUAAAAUAAAUUGCAAUCACUAAUAAAAUAUGAAGAAACAUAACUUAUUGAUAAAUAUUGUGGGUGCAAUCUGUCCCCUCCCGUGAUAUUUCUCUCAUGAGAUUUGUUUAUCGAUGAUUCGAGGGUUCCUUAACUCUUCUCUCAUAAGAUUUAUUAAUCCACAAUUUCAGGACCGUCAGUGGCGUAUUUUCCAAACUAGAAUGAUUUAGAUUUGAUCUUUAUAUGAAUAUUUCAUGAAUUUGCGGAAUAUUAGAGAGGUCUCUUUAAAGGAAUUUAGUACUCUUUAUGUAAGCAUAAGCUAAGUUUUAUGGUCAAGUAGCCUCUAAGAAUUCUAAUUAGAACUAGACACACUUUGUAGAAUCUCAACUUAAACAGAUGAGUUCCACAAAUUUCAAUGUGUAAAUAUGUAAGUAAGAACUAGCAAAAAGAUAGGUGAAUUCUUUUGCAUGUAGAGCUUGAUAAUGGAGUCGUGUUUUACAAGUCAAGAUGAAAUGUCUUCUUCUAUCCCGCCAGGAUUGUUUUAAAGGGCAAAAAAGGAUAUGGUUCAAAUUUUUAAGUUUCCAUAGAUCAUAAUUUUUCACUCAAAUCAAUUCACGGGAAAAAAAUACAUUGUGGAAGAUUGAUUCUCAUUGAAAUAGUGGGAAACAUUUUAAUUUCUCUAUAUGAAAAUAUUAUUUUAUUUUUCGUUUUUUUAUAGAUUCAAUCGGAAUGUCUUUGAAAAACUUACCGAACAUUUUUCAGUUAGAAAAUAGUUUUUUUUUUAAAAAAAUUGAGGUGAUGGAGAUGGGACUAUAAAGGGUGGGAGGUAUAUUUAAGGGUGAUGUGGGAAAUAAUUAAUGUAAGUUGUUAUUUGUGGAACUUGUUUUAUCUCAUUUUUAAGAUACCAGAGAAAAUAUUCUAUAUAAUUUUAAAUCAACCAGAAAUAAAUAAAUUAAAAAAUAUUUUCUUCCGUUCGAAACACACCCUUAUUAUGUAAUCUUUCAAUCUCAAAAGUCACAAUAGUCCAAAUUAUCACUUUUCUGUUCAAUCCUUGCCAGAAAAUGAAUGAACCAAAUAAUAUGACAACAUCACAUAUUUUUUUUCAAAAGAAAAAGUAAUCAACUUGUUUCUGUUAAAGUAAUUCCCGCAGCAAGCAUUGGGACAGCAGCUUUAUCAUCAACAUGUACUUGCAUAGUUUAUAUUAGAUCAAGUAUAUGCGUUGGCAAUUUUUUAUUUUUUCGCAAAUAUUUGUAAUGAUAAUUGAACUUACACGUAUUGUGUAAGAGACUCUUAUCGAUAACACGUAUUGUUUGAGGAUGCUGAAAAAAA
Long non-coding RNA from Solanum pennellii, 3473 nucleotides. RefSeq lists it as uncharacterized. The transcript is spliced from 4 exons. NCBI's taxonomy places the organism in Eukaryota, Viridiplantae, Streptophyta, Magnoliopsida, Solanales, Solanaceae. The record is from RefSeq and is a predicted model, not a curated record.